CUACAGGCUGGUAGCAAAGACUAAAUAAUUUCACCCAUGCGGAGGACUUAGAGAAUUGGCACAUAGUGAGUACAACCUUAAGUGUUAAGUAGUGGUACUCAGAAACCCUGUGAUGCAAUACUUUAUGAUGUCAAUGUAAAGGAAACUGAAAAGAGUGUUGAAAGACAAUGGUCAUGGAACUGAACAGAUGAGCCUCUGAUUCCUGUUCUGCCACUGAUAAACCCUAUGGUCUUUGUCAUUUACUCCCCUUCCUGGGCCUCCCUAGGGAGUAAUGAGGCUAGAAGAAAUGAUACCUGGGAAGGGAGUAUACAGCCAUAUGAGAAUCACUGUUAUAGGUGAUGAGGCUCCAUGAGAGGGCAUUAACUUCUAAAAGCAUGAGAAACCAUCAUCUUCUUCUGCAAUGAGAGAAUCAAUGUGCCUCAUGAAGUUACAUACCAUGAUGAAAUAAACCAUAAUCCAUCCAAAGUUUACCAGCCUCUUAUCCCUGCAGCGCCACAUUUAACUUGACUCUGAAGUUACAGUUAAAUUAAAAGGGUUUGCAUAUUUUAUUCUCUCUAGUGAUUUUAUUGCUCACUAGAGAUUUGCUGUAUUAAAAAGC
This 598-nucleotide long non-coding RNA is filed under the name Homo sapiens (human). Its description in RNAcentral is "HSALNT0350449". The record is from RNAcentral. Lineage: Eukaryota; Metazoa; Chordata; Mammalia; Primates; Hominidae.